GAAACCAACAGGGAUUGCCCUAGUAACGGCGAGUGAAGCGGCAACAGCUCAAAUUUGAAAUCUGGCCUCGGCCCGAGUUGUAAUUUGCAGAGGAUGCUUCUGGCGCGGUGCCUUCCGAGUUCCCUGGAACGGGACGCCACAGAGGGUGAGAGCCCCGUAUGGUCGGACACCAAGCCUGUGUGAAGCUCCUUCGACGAGUCGAGUAGUUUGGGAAUGCUGCUCUAAAUGGGAGGUAAAUCUCUUCUAAAGCUAAAUACCGGCCAGAGACCGAUAGCGCACAAGUAGAGUGAUCGAAAGAUGAAAAGCACCUUGAAAAGGGGGUUAAAUAGUACGUGAAAUUGUUGAAAGGGAAGCACUUAUGACCAGACUUGGGCCGGGCGGCUCAUCAGGGGUUCUCCCCUGUGCACUCCGCCCGGCACAGGCCAGCAUCGGUUCUCGUGGGGGGAUAAGACCGUCAGGAACGUAGCACCCUCCGGGGUGUGUUAUAGCCUGGCGGACGAUACCCCCGUGGGGACCGAGGUCCGCGCUCCGCAAGGAUGCUGGCGUAAUGGUCAUCAGUGACCCGUCUUGAAACACGGACCAAGGAGUCGUCCAUUAGAGCGAGCGUUUGGGUGUAAAACCCGCACGCGUAAUGAAAGUGAACGCAGGUGAGAGCUUCGGCGCAUCAUCGACCGAUCCUGAUGUUCUCGGAAGGAUUUGAGUAAGAGUUUUAACGGACGGACCCGAAAGACAGUGAACUAUGCUUGUAUAGGGUGAAGCCAGAGGAAACUCUGGUGGAGGCUCGCAGCGGUUCUGACGUGCAAAUCGAUCGUCAAAUAUGAGCAUGGGGGCGAAAGACUAAUCGA
Molecule: ribosomal RNA, 845 nt
Filed under: Diaporthe vacuae
Lineage: Eukaryota; Fungi; Ascomycota; Sordariomycetes; Diaporthales; Diaporthaceae
Description: partial large subunit ribosomal RNA
Rfam family: Eukaryotic large subunit ribosomal RNA
Source: RNAcentral